GCCCGCCUAGCUCAAUCGGAUAGAGCGUCAGACUCUUAUGGCGGAUGCUUAGUCGCAUCAUGGCUGCGAUCUGAAGGCUGCGAGUUCGACCCUCGCGGUGGGCU
RNAcentral lists this transfer RNA (104 nucleotides) under Russula ochroleuca. It matches the Rfam family "tRNA". Rfam says of the family: Transfer RNA (tRNA) molecules are approximately 80 nucleotides in length. Their secondary structure includes four short double-helical elements and three loops (D, anti-codon, and T loops). Further hydrogen bonds mediate the characteristic L-shaped molecular structure. tRNAs have two regions of fundamental functional importance: the anti-codon, which is responsible for specific mRNA codon recognition, and the 3' end, to which the tRNAs corresponding amino acid is attached (by aminoacyl-tRNA synthetases). tRNAs cope with the degeneracy of the genetic code in two manners: having more than one tRNA (with a specific anti-codon) for a particular amino acid; and 'wobble' base-pairing, i.e. permitting non-standard base-pairing at the 3rd anti-codon position. The record is from Rfam by way of RNAcentral. Lineage: Eukaryota; Fungi; Basidiomycota; Agaricomycetes; Russulales; Russulaceae.